Molecule: ribosomal RNA, 544 nt
Filed under: uncultured bacterium
Lineage: Bacteria
Description: bacterial SSU rRNA
Rfam family: Bacterial small subunit ribosomal RNA
Source: RNAcentral
AGAGUUUGAUCAUGGCUCAGAACGAACGUUGGCGGCGUGGAUUAGGCAUGCAAGUCGAACGCGAAAGAGGUAGCAAUACCUCGAGUAAAGUGGCGAACGGGUGAGUAACGCGUAGGAAACCUGCCUUCGAGUGGGGGAUAACAUUCCUAACGGGAUGCUAAUACCGCAUGUGACUACGGAGUCGCAUGGCUCUGUAGUGAAAGGUGGCCUCUGUUUACAAGCUACCGCUCAAAGAUGGUCCUGCGUCCCAUUAGCUAGUUGGUGGGGUAACGGCCUACCAAGGCGACGAUGGGUAGCCGAUCUGAGAGGAUGACCGGCCACACUGGGACUGAGAUACGGCCCAGACUCCUACGGGAGGCAGCAGUCGAGAGGCUUCGGCAAUGGGGGAAACCCUGACCGAGCGACGCCGCGUGGAGGAUGAAGGCCUUUGGGUUGUAAACUCCUGUCAUGAGGGAAGAAACGUCACCGUUCGAAUAGGGCGGUGACUUGACGGUACCUCAAGAGGAAGCUCCGGCUAACUCCGUGCCAGCAGCCGCGGUAAUUC